GAAGGUAUGACAGAGAGGUUUAUUGUGUCUGACUUGAAAUCAGAAAUGUUUUUAAAACAUCGUAGGUUCAAAUCCUACUACCUUCU
RNAcentral lists this transfer RNA (86 nucleotides) under Candidatus Nasuia deltocephalincola. Its description in RNAcentral is "Candidatus Nasuia deltocephalinicola tRNA". It matches the Rfam family "tRNA". From Rfam's summary of the family: Transfer RNA (tRNA) molecules are approximately 80 nucleotides in length. Their secondary structure includes four short double-helical elements and three loops (D, anti-codon, and T loops). Further hydrogen bonds mediate the characteristic L-shaped molecular structure. tRNAs have two regions of fundamental functional importance: the anti-codon, which is responsible for specific mRNA codon recognition, and the 3' end, to which the tRNAs corresponding amino acid is attached (by aminoacyl-tRNA synthetases). tRNAs cope with the degeneracy of the genetic code in two manners: having more than one tRNA (with a specific anti-codon) for a particular amino acid; and 'wobble' base-pairing, i.e. permitting non-standard base-pairing at the 3rd anti-codon position. Lineage: Bacteria; Pseudomonadati; Pseudomonadota; Betaproteobacteria. The record is from Rfam by way of RNAcentral.